This 468-nucleotide ribosomal RNA is filed under the name uncultured bacterium. RNAcentral describes it as "partial 16S ribosomal RNA". It matches the Rfam family "Bacterial small subunit ribosomal RNA", at positions 28 to 507 of the family's 1533-position model. The record is from RNAcentral.
GACGAACGCUGGCGGCGUGCUUAACACAUGCAAGUCGAACGGAAAGGCCCUGCUUUUGUGGGGUGCUCGAGUGGCGAACGGGUGAGUAACACGUGAGUAACCUGCCCUUGACUUUGGGAUAACUUCAGGAAACUGGGGCUAAUACCGGAUAGGAGCUCCUGCUGCAUGGUGGGGGUUGGAAAGUUUCGGCGGUUGGGGAUGGACUCGCGGCUUAUCAGCUUGUUGGUGGGGUAGUGGCUUACCAAGGCUUUGACGGGUAGCCGGCCUGAGAGGGCGACCGGCCACAUUGGGACUGAGAUACGGCCCAGACUACUACGGGAGGCAGCAGUGGGGAAUAUUGCACAAUGGGCGGAAGCCUGAUGCAGCAACGCCGCGUGCGGGAUGACGGCCUUCGGGUUGUAAACCGCUUUCGCCUGUGACGAAGCGUGAGUGACGGUAAUGGGUAAAGAAGCACCGGCUAACUACGUG